GACGAACGCUGGCGGCGUGCCUAAUACAUGCAAGUUGAGCGCUGAAGGUUGGUACUUGUACCAACUGGAUGAGCAGCGAACGGGUGAGUAACGCGUGGGGAAUCUGCCUUUGAGCGGGGGACAACAUUUGGAAACGAAUGCUAAUACCGCAUAAAAACUUUAAACACAAGUUUUAAGUUUGAAAGAUGCAAUUGCAUCACUCAAAGAUGAUCCCGCGUUGUAUUAGCUAGUUGGUGAGGUAAAGGCUCACCAAGGCGAUGAUACAUAGCCGACCUGAGAGGGUGAUCGGCCACAUUGGGACUGGGACACGGCCCAAACUCCUUCGGGAGGGAGCAGUAGGGAAUCUUCGGCAAUGGAGGAAAGUCUUACCGAGCAACGCCGCGGGAGGGAAGAAGGUUUUCGGAUCGUAAAACUCUGUUGGUAGAGAAGAACGUUGGUGAGAGUGGAAAGCUCAUCAAGUGACGGUAACUACCCAGAAAGGGACGGCUAACUACGUG
This 497-nucleotide ribosomal RNA is filed under the name uncultured bacterium. RNAcentral's name for it is "partial 16S ribosomal RNA". It matches the Rfam family "Bacterial small subunit ribosomal RNA", at positions 28 to 507 of the family's 1533-position model. The record is from RNAcentral.